Molecule: ribosomal RNA, 253 nt
Filed under: uncultured bacterium
Lineage: Bacteria
Description: partial 16S ribosomal RNA
Rfam family: Bacterial small subunit ribosomal RNA
Source: RNAcentral
UACGGAGGGUGCAAGCGUUAAUCGGAAUUAUUGGGCGUAAAGCGCACGCAGGCGGUUUGUUAAGUCAGAUGUGAAAUCCCCGGGCUCAACCUGGGAACUGCAUUUGAAACUGGCAAGCUAGAGUCUCGUAGAGGGGGGUGGAAUUCCAGGUGUAGCGGUGAAAUGCGUAGAGAUCAGGAGGAAUACCGGUGGCGAAGGCGGCCCCCUGGACGAAAACUGACGCUCAGGUGCGAAAGCGUGGGGAGCGAACAGG